This is a small nucleolar RNA of Fukomys damarensis (Damara mole-rat), 146 nucleotides long. Lineage: Eukaryota; Metazoa; Chordata; Mammalia; Rodentia; Bathyergidae. The record is from Ensembl.
AACCCUUGGCAUUGGGCAAAGAGACACCUAAUUGGUGGUGGUGUCCCUUAUAUCAAGUCAGGGGCAGAGCAGAUGGUAGUCGUUUGUUCAUCCUUGCUUGGUGCCUGGAUUGGUGGCCAAAGCUGCUUCAUGCCUAGGGCACAUAA